GCAUGGCGGAAUCGGUUCUUGACCAUGCACACGCGUAGGCACACGCAGAACCGACGGAGAAAUUCUCUCUCUAGGGAGCGAUUCUCUUGGCAUUUUUCUGCUUCUGACUGUCUCCAGAUGCUGUUCACCGCUGCUAUAUAUUCAUUCCUAACGCCGUGCAUCGGAGAGCUCGGCUCUGCUCUGUUUCUCUGGCCCUGAACGUGUGAAGUGACUCGGCUCGCCGGCCUCGAUCUUCAUCCUUGGCGCAUUGAGGUUGAGAGUUUAUAGAGUUUUCGCCGGUCACGGUCGAUCAUCAAUCUCAAGAGGGCGCAGAACUGAAGGAAGGAAAUUAUUUUUUGUUCCGAUUCGCGGCUCUGAGAGAGAGAGAGAGAGAGAGAGAGAGAGAGAGAGAGAGAGAGAGAGAGAGAGAGAGAGAGAGAGAGAGAGAGAGUACGAGAGAGGAACGCUCGAACACAAAAUUUACUCUCGUGGAACCAAGUGCGAGAGGCUUCGAGAACACGCUGAUCGACGCUGAAAUCCGCCAUUUAAGGUCACUAGCAUUCGCCGACAAUCGCCUUGCACCGCUCGCAACCGGAGGUACGGACUCAGAGAAAGAGUUUCUAAGACGCAGAUGCAAUGCUCUGUUUUGGCUCUGUUUCGCAGCCAAAAAGCCUUGAAGUAAUUGGACUUUGCUCGAUCACACUCCUGCAGCUUCAACCACCGGCGACGGCAGUCUUGGAAAUACUAGUUCUCAGUUCAAUCAAUGUUCCUGGUCAUGCAUCUACCAGCUUGCUAAAAAAACAAGCCUCGGAAUUUGGAGUGGAAGACCUAAGUGGUUCAUUAAAUGUCAUGAAUGUCGUUUGGCUAUCGGAUAUGAUGGAAAGGGAGGAAAAUCUUGAGUAUCUAGAAGCGCCGGACCAACUAUACACCAAUGAUGAGAUUCAAGAAGUUCCGGAAGAAUUGAUGAUGUAUCAGUAGAUACAUGCAAUGAUCCCGAGGUCGACGGCAACGUCCAACCGAAGUCAACCAAGGACUUUGAUCCUCCGGCGAAGGCCCUCCUGCCUUCAAAUGCACCAUCGCGACCUCCAUUACCUCCGUUUUGCUCGGUUUUGGAGUGAUGAGCGGGGUGAUGCUGUGCAUAAAAAAGGAGCUAAAGAUAACUAACGUGUAAGUUAAAGACCUGACAAGAUUCUCAAUGCGUUCUCGCUCCUUGGGUCAGUGAUUGCAGGGCGAAUCUCCAAUUGGAUCAACCACCAUUGUACGUGCUUGUCAUGCUCAGCGUGUAAAAAUCGCCUUGUGCUCGCUCGUCAUCCAGGUCCUUGUCAUGCUGAAAUCCCCUAGUGGCUCAUCAUGCACGGCCGCUUGGGUGAUGAGAAACACUAUUUCGCCACAACCUCCGACUCCAAGGAGGAAGCCGUGCUUCGGCUCGCCAACAUCCCUAAGAAGUGCAACUAAGACGUUGUCAAGAUCACCAAACGGAGCACAAGAGAGGGGAAGUAGAGGGAACUCCUCCCCUGAUCCCGUCCGUUCGCCACAUACUCACUGCAGAGCGUUUGUGAUGAUUAAAUUGACUUGAAGAUAUUAUUUUCGAUUUAUAGUAUAUAUCAAUAUAUUGUUUUUGUAAAG
This is a long non-coding RNA of Syzygium oleosum, 1605 nucleotides long. RefSeq lists it as uncharacterized. The transcript has 5 exons. Lineage: Eukaryota; Viridiplantae; Streptophyta; Magnoliopsida; Myrtales; Myrtaceae. The record is from RefSeq and is a predicted model, not a curated record.